RNAcentral lists this ribosomal RNA (506 nucleotides) under uncultured bacterium. RNAcentral describes it as "bacterial SSU rRNA". It matches the Rfam family "Bacterial small subunit ribosomal RNA", at positions 29 to 518 of the family's 1533-position model. The record is from RNAcentral.
AUGAACGCUGGCGGCGUGCUUAACACAUGCAAGUCGAACGAAGCACCUCUAAUCGAAGAUUGAGAAAGCUUGCUUUGAUGAUCACCUUGAGGUGACUGAGUGGCGGACGGGUGAGUAACGCGUGGGUAACCUACCCUAUACAGGGGGAUAACAGUUGGAAACGACUGCUAAUACCGCAUAAGCGCACAGGACCGCAUGGUCUAGUGUGAAAAAACUCCGGUGGUAUAGGAUGGACCCGCGUCUGAUUAGCUAGUUGGUGAGGUAACGGCUCACCAAGGCGACGAUCAGUAGCCGACCUGAGAGGGUGACCGGCCACAUUGGGACUGAGACACGGCCCAAACUCCUACGGGAGGCAGCAGUGGGGAAUAUUGCACAAUGGGCGAAAGCCUGAUGCAGCGACGCCGCGUGAACGAAGAAGUAUUUCGGUAUGUAAAGUUCUAUCAGCAGGGAAGAAAAAUGACGGUACCUGACUAAGAAGCUCCGGCUAAAUACGUGCCAGCAGCCGC